RNAcentral lists this unclassified non-coding RNA (253 nucleotides) under uncultured Anaerolineae bacterium. RNAcentral describes it as "contains 16S-23S intergenic spacer region". It matches the Rfam family "Bacterial small subunit ribosomal RNA", at positions 524 to 776 of the family's 1533-position model. The record is from RNAcentral. Lineage: Bacteria; Bacillati; Chloroflexota; Anaerolineae.
UACGUAGGUGGCGAACGUUAUCCGGAAUUACUGGGCGUAAAGGGUCCGCAGGCGGCGGACAAGGUCGGACGUGACAGCGCGCGGCUCAACUGCGCGAGGCCGUUCGAAACCGGUCGGCUGGAAUCCGGCAGAGGUCGGUGGAAUUCCCGGUGUAGUGGUGGAAUGCGUAGAGAUCGGGAGGAACGCCACAAGCGAAGGCAACCGGCUGGGUCGAGAUUGACGCUGAGGGACGAAAGCGUGGGGAGCGAACAGG